Molecule: long non-coding RNA, 1178 nt
Organism: Cavia porcellus (domestic guinea pig)
Lineage: Eukaryota; Metazoa; Chordata; Mammalia; Rodentia; Caviidae
Exons: 3
Source: RefSeq, a predicted model, not a curated record
CCCGCCCACAGCUGUCAGCCACUGCCAUACAGAGCUGCCUGCUGGCCAGGGGAAGUUGCCCCUUCCUGGAGUCAUGAUGGGCAGCAAGAUGGUGUCUGCCACCAGGUUAUCCAGAAUUAAAAGAUGUUUCCGAAAGUCAGCUUCUAAAACCACAAACCGAGAAUAAAAAACCUGAGAAAAGACCUGGACAGUAUGGAAAAUUCAGACAAGAUAAACACCAUGCAACAAAGCCUACAGACAGAGAUGGAGCUUGCUACAGUUACUCAACAUGUGUUCCAGAACAUCAUUUUGGGGUGUAAAGUCAACUGGGCAGCAGAUCCAGCACUCAGGGAAACUGUUCUGCAGGUGAAAAGGCUCUCACCACAAUCUAACAAGAAUUCCACUGGGCCAGGUGUUGCCAUGUGUGCCUUUGAUCUCAGCACUCAGGAGGCUGAAACAAGAGGAUUGCCACAUGCUGAAGACCAGCAAAGAUUUGCACCUUGCAGUUUUUGGAUUUUUGUCUCUGAUAUGUCAUUUAAAUAGCAAGUUUCAAGUGAAAGGAAUUUACCAUCUUUGGGGAACUCUCCUAAUCUGUAAUUGCUUUUUAGCUUCAGUUAACACUCUAACCUAGAAUCGGUCAUUUUAAAUAACACUAAAGUGACUGUGUACUCUUAAAAGGGGAAUGUCUUAGUCAUGGAAAAGACACCUGGUCUGAUAUCUGAGGAGCAGGCGCAGUUUUGGACAUUCACAAGGUCCCAGCAUUUGAUUGUAAUACUUGUGUGCAUUUCUGCAUUUGUCAGUCAGGAUGCAGAGAGGUCUCCAGAGUGUCAGCAGCUGGUAUAAUUCGUAGUGGGGUUCUGAGUAACUGUCUUCUGUUCUCUCUGUGUCUGUUUCUCCCCUCACAAAUACCUCUGCUCACACACAUACAAAAAUGCUGGCUACACCCUGGCAAUGCUGAUGUACAGUGACAUCCAUGCCCAUUUUCAGUUCUGUUUGGACACAAACUCUUGCCAACUUACCAAGGCUGGCUUCAGACUUGGAACCCUCCUGAACAACUGAGAUUACAAGCAUGUACUGCCAUGUCCAGUACAGCUCUUUAUUAAUUAGAAGCUAUUGAUCAUAUUAAUGGACAGUGUGAGGUUUUCAGUAUUCUUAUUGGAAUAAAGUGAAACUUGAAAAGAUGCACUCAUUGGAUAAUA